RNAcentral lists this long non-coding RNA (498 nucleotides) under Equus asinus (donkey). Its description in RNAcentral is "lncRNA (ENSEASG00005036026.1)". Lineage: Eukaryota; Metazoa; Chordata; Mammalia; Perissodactyla; Equidae. The record is from RNAcentral.
CUUCAUCCUGGCCCUUCUCUCUUGGGACGCUCACCAUGGAACCUAGCUGAGAGGAAGCCCAGGCAACGUGGUGAUGCCACACAUGGGUAUUCUGCUCAACAGCCCCAGCUAAGGUCCCAGCCAACAGCCAGCUUUGACUACCAGACAUGUGAAUGAAUGAACCUUCAGAUAACUCCAGCCCCACCUUUGAGUCUUUCAGCUGAGCCUCAGACACUAUGGAGCAGACUAACUGUCCUCAAAAUGCCGUGUGUGAAUUCCUGACCUACAGGAACCAUGAAAAUAUUGUCUUGAUUUCUUUCUGUUUGAAGCAACAACAUGCAGACAAGAGAUAUCAACAGUUUUGAAGGAUAGAAAGUAGAUGGACAAGCAAUUUUUUGCAUUUUAAGGAUGGGCUGAUGGCAUCUUGGGAGCUUGGAAAAAGACGAGUGUAAACACCAUGGCAGAACGUCAUUCGAACCUACCAUGUGUAAAUAAUAACCUCCUCAAAUAAACGAGUUA